GUUUGUACUUUCCUCUUUAGAGUGGUAAUUUUUUUUUACAGCUAUCUAAACUUUUUAUGUAAUAAAUAUUUUAAAAAAGGAUGUUUUCACUUAUAAUUACACGAGAGCUUACACGAUGUUGCAAUCAAUUGCAAAUAUCGAGACCAAACCACGCCCUUAGUGAAGGGAAAUUUCGAUGUGGUCAAAAUUUUGAUUGAGAAUGGUGCCAGCAUUAAUUCUACAAAUAGUGAGGCCUGUAAUCCACUCUUCGAAUCUCCAAAACUUGUCGAUUGUGACAGUACGGGAUAUUUAAUAAGCAAAGAAGCGAAAAUGGAGGCGAAAUACUUAUUGAAAGACAACUUUCAAUGUAUGAAGAGUUUAAUUAAGAAUAAAAUUGAACUGAAGAGUCUUUUGCUGGACGACUUUGAUUCUUCUACUUUACUAAAAAACAAGGACUCCCAAUUGAUUUGUAUGAUAAAAAACAAAAAAAUCCACUUGUAGUCGCUGCAAAAAUUGCAUUUCUUGAUUGUUAAACUUUUGGUCGAUGCCGGCGCUGGAAUUGAUUCAGCGAAAGAAGAAUUGGAAGAAUUUACCAAUCAAGAUAACGAGUGUUAUGUUUACUAUCAGAGAUUGAAACUAAACAAGGUAAAGACACAAUUUUCAGAUUUUGGUGAGAGAUGUCACGAAACCGCAGAAUAAACUAAUCGUAUAAAGUUUGUUGCAAUUACUUUUCAAUGUAUUUUUUUUACAAUAAAAAUCAUUUUGUAUCGUUCCUUA
This is a long non-coding RNA of Tribolium madens (black flour beetle), 756 nucleotides long. RefSeq lists it as uncharacterized. NCBI's taxonomy places the organism in Eukaryota, Metazoa, Arthropoda, Insecta, Coleoptera, Tenebrionidae. The record is from RefSeq and is a predicted model, not a curated record. The transcript has 2 exons.